AUGAAGAUAAGUCUUAAUAAUGGGAUUUAUUGUGUAUACGAAUUUAAAGAAGCCCACAACCAUAGUCUUGCUACUGGAAAUAUGUCGCAAUACUUAAGAUCACACAGGAAAGUAACUGAAGCUCAACUUGCCAAUGCCGAGGUCGCAAAGUCAGUGGGCAUUUCAAAUAAAGCAACUAUUGAUCUAAUGACGAAAGAGGCACGUGGACCUGAAAACCUUGGCUUUAUAAGCACAGACAUGAAAAAUCGUUUGUACUCAAAGAGAACACUAAAAGCAAAGAUGGGUGACACAGGUGGAGUGUUAGAAUAUAUGGAGAAGAAGGUUUCAGAAGAUGUCAAAUAUUUUUAUUCAAUUCAAGUUGAUGAGGAUGAUUUGAUAACUAAUAUAUUUUGGACGGACUCCAAAAUAGUCUCAGACUAUGCAUUAUUUGGUGAUGUCAUAUGCUUUGACACCACAUAUAGGAAACUAGACGAUGGGCGUCCGUUUGGUUUAAUUGUUGGUGUGAAUAAUCACAAGAAAACUAUUGUGUUUGGUGCUGCACUUCUCUAUGAUGAAACAGCAGAAAGUUUUGCUUGGCUUUUUAGAACAUCUUUAACAGUAAUGUCUGGAAAGCAUCCACAUACAAUUCUGACUGACGAAGAUGCAGCAAUGGCUAAGGCAAUCCGUUCAGUCCUGCUUCACUCUCACCAUAGACUUUGUGUGUGGCAUAUGAAUCAAAAUGCUAUCAAACAUCUUGAUGGAGUUGUUACAGAUUACAAGAAGUUCAAUGCUGAUUUUCAGCAUUGUAUCUAUGAUAUUGAGGAGGAAGAUGAAUUUAUAAGUGCAUGGAAUGAAAUGCUUGACAAUACCCAAACGAGUGAAAGCAUGAACAAUGAACUAAAACGUUACAUUAGUUCUAAGUAUGACAUGCUUACUUUUUUUGAGCAUUUCGAACGUCUAGUUGCAGAUAAAAGAUUUGAAGAGGUGAGAUGUGACUUCAAAGCAACCCAAAGUACUCCUAAGCUGAAGGCAGAAAGCUAUAUGUUAAGGCAAGCAUCAACUACAUAUACUCCACCAAUAUUCAAGAUGUUUCGGGAACAAGUGCUUCGGACCUUAAACUAUGAUACAUUCCUUUGUGAUGACAGUGACACCAAGGAGAAGGUUUACAAAGUAAAAUUUCAUGGUACAGAGCGUGAUCAUGUUGUUAAAUUUUUUCCAAAAGAAGAAAAGGUCAAUUGCAGUUGUAAGAAGUUUGAAUUUGCUGGAAUUCUUUGCUCUCAUUCGUUA
RNAcentral lists this ribosomal RNA (1266 nucleotides) under Triticum aestivum (bread wheat). RNAcentral describes it as "partial small subunit ribosomal RNA". Lineage: Eukaryota; Viridiplantae; Streptophyta; Magnoliopsida; Poales; Poaceae. The record is from RNAcentral.